CAGUCGCCGCGGUAAUCCGUAGGCGGCAAGCGUUGUCCGGAAUUAUUGGGCGUAAAUGGCUCGCAGGCGGUUUCUUAAGUCUGAUGUGAAAGCCCCCGGCUCAACCGGGGAGGGUCAUUGGAAACCGGGAAACUUGAGUGCAGAAGAGGAGAGUGGAAUUCCACGUGUAGCGGUGAAAUGCGUAGAGAUGUGGAGGAACACCAGUGGCGAAGGCGACUCUCUGGUCUGUAACUGACGCUGAGGCACGAAAGCGUGGGGAGCAAACAGGAUUAGAUACCCGCGUAGUCCCUGUCUCUUAUAC
Molecule: ribosomal RNA, 301 nt
Filed under: uncultured bacterium
Lineage: Bacteria
Description: partial 16S ribosomal RNA
Rfam family: Bacterial small subunit ribosomal RNA
Source: RNAcentral